ACGUGACGGGGAACCGCCGGACGUGACGCCCGCUCACUUCCGGGUUUGCUGCCGGAGCUGAACGGUCUAAAAGCUAAGAAACGUAGGAAGCGUCGGAUUCUGCAGCGCCUCCUUUCCUGCUGCUCUGGGGUUGGAACUGGCUUCCUGUACUCACUUCCAGUGCACAAUGCAAAAGCGGGUUUGAAUUAAGAGAGAGGCAAGGCAUAGGGAAGUGGACCAUCUCUUAAGUUUCUCGCUUGCAAACGCCUUUUUCUUUUUUACACUCUUCUCCCCGGGGUGGAACUAGAAUUGUCUAUAUAGAAAUCAAUGGGGGAAUCCAAAACUUGAAGGCUGCAGACAGAAGCAAAGACAGGAGCCCAUAGUCCUACUCAGAGUAUCUCCUGUUGAGAUAAUGAACCUAAGGUCGUGUCCUUUAAUUUAAGGUGUACUCUUGAGUAGUUGAAUGCAGCCAUGGGUGUAGCUGCCCCCCCAUCAAUAAAAAUCAAUAAACAUACGAGGUCCUGGCCCCCUAACAAAAGCCUGCUCCCUAACAAAAAUCCUGGCGACACCCAUUAAUGCAGCCCUUUCAAGUCGCCCGUCCAUGUGCAUGGAAGCCUUUUGCAUGCAGUUAAAUGCAGGAAUUCAGAUUCAUAGCUGUCAACCUUCCCCCCCCCCUUUUUUUUUUUGCGGGAAAUUCCCUUAUUCCAGCGCUGCUUUCCGCUGCUAUCCCCGGGACAAGGGCCAUAGCUGGGAAGAGAUGCUCUUUGCUACCACAAUCACCUGAACCUCCAACAACAACAGUGAACCAAAGAGAAACCCCACGCUAUGUAGCUGCUCCUUCAGCGGGGGUGCUACACAAUCCAAAUCUGGCUGUCUUUCCGUUUCCUGGACAUGAGAACUAAACAAAGAUGAAGAGAAUAAAGAGGCAUGAAGUCAUUUAAAGAGGAAAAAACUUUUUUUAAAAAAUAAAUUUUUAUUAAACGUUUCAAAAGUUUUUUA
Podarcis muralis (Common wall lizard) is the source of this 978-nucleotide long non-coding RNA. RefSeq lists it as uncharacterized. The record is from RefSeq and is a predicted model, not a curated record. NCBI's taxonomy places the organism in Eukaryota, Metazoa, Chordata, Lepidosauria, Squamata, Lacertidae.